This 3451-nucleotide ribosomal RNA is filed under the name Drosophila melanogaster (fruit fly). RNAcentral's name for it is "eukaryotic LSU rRNA". It matches the Rfam family "Eukaryotic large subunit ribosomal RNA". Lineage: Eukaryota; Metazoa; Arthropoda; Insecta; Diptera; Drosophilidae. The record is from RNAcentral.
UAUGUUAUUAUUCUUCGUUGGUUCGUUAAAAAUGGAUAAAUAAAAACUUUGCAUACAAGAAUUAAUAAAAAUGUUAUAACGAAUUUAAUUAAAUGUUUUAUCAUUAUAUAUAAAGAAUUUAUGGCAAGAUAAAGUUAUAUACAACCUCAACUCAUAUGGGACUACCCCCUGAAUUUAAGCAUAUUAAUUAGGGGAGCAAAAGAAACUAACAAGGACUUAGUAGCGGCGAGCGAAAAGAAAACAGUUCAGCACUAAGUCACUUUGUCUAUAUGGCAAAUGUGAGAUGCAGUGUAUGGAGCGUCAAUAUUCUAGUAUGAGAAAUUAACGAUUUAAGUCCUUCUUAAAUGAGGCCAUUUACCCAUAGAGGGUGCCAGGCCCGUAUAACGUUAAUGAUUACUAGAUGAUGUUUCCAAAGAGUCGUGUUGCUUGAUAGUGCAGCACUAAGUGGGUGGUAAACUCCAUCUAAAACUAAAUAUAACCAUGAGACCGAUAGUAAACAAGUACCGUGAGGGAAAGUUGAAAAGAACUCUGAAUAGAGAGUUAAACAGUACGUGAAACUGCUUAGAGGUUAAGCCCGAUGAACCUGAAUAUCCGUUAUGGAAAAUUCAUCAUUAAAAUUGUAAUAUUUAAAUAAUAUUAUGAGAAUAGUGUGCAUUUUUUCCAUAUAAGGACAUUGUAAUCUAUUAGCAUAUACCAAAUUUAUCAUAAAAUAUAACUUAUAGUUUAUUCCAAUUAAAUUGCUUGCAUUUUAACACAGAAUAAAUGUUAUUAAUUUGAUAAAGUGCUGAUAGAUUUAUAUGAUUACAGUGCGUUAAUUUUUCGGAAUUAUAUAAUGGCAUAAUUAUCAUUGAUUUUUGUGUUUAUUAUAUGCACUUGUAUGAUUAACAAUGCGAAAGAUUCAGGAUACCUUCGGGACCCGUCUUGAAACACGGACCAAGGAGUCUAACAUAUGUGCAAGUUAUUGGGAUAUAAACCUAAUAGCGUAAUUAACUUGACUAAUAAUGGGAUUAGUUUUUUAGCUAUUUAUAGCUAAUUAACACAAUCCCGGGGCGUUCUAUAUAGUUAUGUAUAAUGUAUAUUUAUAUUAUUUAUGCCUCUAACUGGAACGUACCUUGAGCAUAUAUGCUGUGACCCGAAAGAUGGUGAACUAUACUUGAUCAGGUUGAAGUCAGGGGAAACCCUGAUGGAAGACCGAAACAGUUCUGACGUGCAAAUCGAUUGUCAGAAUUGAGUAUAGGGGCGAAAGACCAAUCGAACCAUCUAGUAGCUGGUUCCUUCCGAAGUUUCCCUCAGGAUAGCUGGUGCAUUUUAAUAUUAUAUAAAAUAAUCUUAUCUGGUAAAGCGAAUGAUUAGAGGCCUUAGGGUCGAAACGAUCUUAACCUAUUCUCAAACUUUAAAUGGGUAAGAACCUUAACUUUCUUGAUAUGAAGUUCAAGGUUAUGAUAUAAUGUGCCCAGUGGGCCACUUUUGGUAAGCAGAACUGGCGCUGUGGGAUGAACCAAACGUAAUGUUACGGUGCCCAAAUUAACAACUCAUGCAGAUACCAUGAAAGGCGUUGGUUGCUUAAAACAGCAGGACGGUGAUCAUGGAAGUCAAAAUCCGCUAAGGAGUGUGUAACAACUCACCUGCCGAAGCAACUAGCCCUUAAAAUGGAUGGCGCUUAAGUUGUAUACCUAUACAUUACCGCUAAAGUAGAUGAUUUAUAUUACUUGUGAUAUAAAUUUUGAAACUUUAGUGAGUAGGAAGGUACAAUGGUAUGCGUAGAAGUGUUUGGCGUAAGCCUGCAUGGAGCUGCCAUUGGUACAGAUCUUGGUGGUAGUAGCAAAUAAUCGAAUGAGACCUUGGAGGACUGAAGUGGAGAAGGGUUUCGUGUGAACAGUGGUUGAUCACGAGUUAGUCGGUCCUAAGUUCAAGGCGAAAGCCGAAAAUUUUCAAGUAAAACAAAAAUGCCUAACUAUAUAAACAAAGCGAAUUAUAAUACACUUGAAUAAUUUUGAACGAAAGGGAAUACGGUUCCAAUUCCGUAACCUGUUGAGUAUCCGUUUGUUAUUAAAUAUGGGCCUCGUGCUCAUCCUGGCAACAGGAACGACCAUAAAGAAGCCGUCGAGAGAUAUCGGAAGAGUUUUCUUUUCUGUUUUAUAGCCGUACUACCAUGGAAGUCUUUCGCAGAGAGAUAUGGUAGAUGGGCUAGAAGAGCAUGACAUAUACUGUUGUGUCGAUAUUUUCUCCUCGGACCUUGAAAAUUUAUGGUGGGGACACGCAAACUUCUCAACAGGCCGUACCAAUAUCCGCAGCUGGUCUCCAAGGUGAAGAGUCUCUAGUCGAUAGAAUAAUGUAGGUAAGGGAAGUCGGCAAAUUAGAUCCGUAACUUCGGGAUAAGGAUUGGCUCUGAAGAUUGAGAUAGUCGGGCUUGAUUGGGAAACAAUAACAUGGUUUAUGUGCUCGUUCUGGGUAAAUAGAGUUUCUAGCAUUUAUGUUAGUUACUUGUUCCCCGGAUAGUUUAGUUACGUAGCCAAUUGUGGAACUUUCUUGCUAAAAUUUUUAAGAAUACUGUUUGGGUUAAACCAAUUAGUUCUUAUUAAUUAUAACGAUUAUCAAUUAACAAUCAAUUCAGAACUGGCACGGACUUGGGGAAUCCGACUGUCUAAUUAAAACAAAGCAUUGUGAUGGCCCUAGCGGGUGUUGACACAAUGUGAUUUCUGCCCAGUGCUCUGAAUGUCAAAGUGAAGAAAUUCAAGUAAGCGCGGGUCAACGGCGGGAGUAACUAUGACUCUCUUAGCUAAGACAGAGGGGCGAUUAUAAGGAGAAAAUAGAGCAGAUAAGAGGGCAAUCAGCUCUCGCCCCGGAAGUUGCUAAUCUAACCAUAAGGCGCCGCCCUAGUAGAAGUGAGCGAGACCACCAAGUAACAACAUCGGAAACAACUCCAAUCACUCCCUUCGAACAGUCGAACAGGGAAAUUUUGCGGACACUACGCGGGUAUAGCCCCGUAGAAUGCCAUUCCAAAUGGAGAGCCCAAGAGUUGCAAACUAUCAUUGAUAGGGCACAUCUCGAGGGAAAGGAAACCACUCUCCAAUGCUUAUCGCUAUAUCUCCUGGGAAUUUUUCCGGCACAGGGUGUACGACACACACUGACGAGACCUCCUCGGAGACCUCGGAACAGGAGAGAAAGCAGAAGGCAGCAGUACGCUGUCGUCCAGCGUAACUGGGAUAAGCAUAAAGGAAGAUGCAUCAAGUCCUUGCUAAAUGGAACUGAUGAGUCGGUAAUGCCAAGCCAAGAAAUAAUGGUUCCCUACUGGAGAGAAGUAAUGACUCAGCCUAGCCCAAGCUCUUGCAGUGGAGAAGUGAUACAAAUGGAUCACUCGCUUGAGAGGGUAUGGUCUGCUAUUACAGAGCAGGACCUUCGGGCGUCAAGAGUCUCAUUAUCCUCGUCUCCGGGGCCUGACGGGAUAACU